UACGGGGGAGCAAGCGUUGUUCGGAUUACUGGCGUAAAGGGCGCGUAGGCGGUCAGCACAAGUCAGUUGUGAAAUCUCCGGCUUAACCCGGAAAGGUCAACUGAUACUGUGCGACUAGAGUGCGGAAGGGGCAACUGGAAUUCUCGGUGUAGCGGUGAAAUGCGUAGAUAUCGAGAGGAACACCUGCGGCGAAGGCGGGUUGCUGGGCCGACACUGACGCUGAUGCGCGAAAGCGUGGGGAGCAAACGGG
This 250-nucleotide ribosomal RNA is filed under the name uncultured bacterium. RNAcentral's name for it is "partial 16S ribosomal RNA". It matches the Rfam family "Bacterial small subunit ribosomal RNA", at positions 524 to 776 of the family's 1533-position model. The record is from RNAcentral.